GGAAUUCGCCCUUAGAGUUUCAUUCUGGCUCAGGACGAACGCUGGCGGCGUGCCUAACACAUGCAAGUCGAACGGACCUAGCCUGAUAGCAAUAUUGGGCGACGGUUAGUGGCGAACGGGUGAGUAACGCGUGAGCAACCUGCCUUUCAGAGGGGGAUAACAGCUGGAAACAGUUGCUAAUACCGCAUAAAGUAUUUAGGUGGCAUCACCUUAAUACCAAAGGUUAAUUCCGCUGAGAGAUGGGCUCACGUCUGAUUAGCUAGAUGGUGGGGUAAUGGCCUACCAUGGCAACGAUCAGUAGCCGGUCUGAGAGGAUGAACGGCCACAUUGGGACUGAGAUACGGCCCAGACUCCUACGGGAGGCAGCAGUGGGGAAUAUUGGGCAAUGGGCGAAAGCCUGACCCAGCAACGCCGCGUGAAGGAAUAAGGCCUUCGGGUUGUAAACUUCUUUUAUCAGGGACGAAGGAUGUGACGGUACCUGAUGAAUAAGCCACGGCUAACUACGUGCCAACAGCCGCGGUAAUACGUAGGUGGCAAGCGUUGUCCGGAUUUACUGGGUGUAAAGGGCGCGUAGGCGGGAAUGCAAGUCAGAUGUGAAAUCCAUGGGCUCAACCCAUGAACUGCAUUUGAAACUGUGUUUCUUGAGUGAUGGAGAGGCAGGCGGAAUUCCUAGUGUAGCGGUGAAAUGCGUAGAUAUUAGGAGGAACACCAGUGGCGAAGGCGGCCUGCUGGACAUCAACUGACGCUGAGGCGCGAAAGCGCGGGGAGCAAACAGGAUUAGAUACCCUGGUAGUCCGCGCCGU
RNAcentral lists this ribosomal RNA (803 nucleotides) under uncultured bacterium. Its description in RNAcentral is "bacterial SSU rRNA". It matches the Rfam family "Bacterial small subunit ribosomal RNA", at positions 1 to 803 of the family's 1533-position model. The record is from RNAcentral.